GACUUGGAGGGAGGACUGUUCAGUC
This 25-nucleotide non-coding RNA is filed under the name Cricetulus griseus (Chinese hamster). Lineage: Eukaryota; Metazoa; Chordata; Mammalia; Rodentia; Cricetidae. The record is from RNAcentral.